RNAcentral lists this ribosomal RNA (253 nucleotides) under uncultured bacterium. RNAcentral's name for it is "partial 16S ribosomal RNA". It matches the Rfam family "Bacterial small subunit ribosomal RNA", at positions 524 to 776 of the family's 1533-position model. The record is from RNAcentral.
UACGUAGGCAGCAAGCGUUGUUCGGAAUUACUGGGCGUAAAGAGUGUGUAGGCGGUGCUCCAAGUCUGGUGUGAAAUCUCCCGGCUUAACUGGGAGGGUGCAUUAGAAACUGGAAUGCUAGAGGAUGGGAGAGGUAAGCGGAAUUCCUGGUGUAGCGGCGAAAUGCGUAGAUAUCAGGAGGAACACCUGUGGUGUAGACAGCUUACUGGACCAUUUCUGACGCUGAGACACGAAAGCGUGGGUAGCAAACAGG